AUACGGAGGAUCCGAGCGUUAUCCGGAUUUAUUGGGUUUAAAGGGUGCGCAGGCGGCCAUUUAAGUCAGCGGUUAAAUCGUGGGGCUCAACCCCAUUCUGCCGUUGAUACUGGGUGGCUUGAUUGCGGUCGAGGUUGGCGGAAUUCGUUGUGUAGCGGUGAAAUGCAUAGAUAUGACGAAGAACACCGAUUGCGUAGGCAGCUGACCAGACCGCAAAUGACGCUCAUGCACGUAAGUGCGGGGAUCGAACAGGAUUAGAUACCCUGGUAGUCCGCACAGUAAACGAUGAAUACUUGUUUUCGGCGAUAUAAUGUCGGAGGCAAAGCGAAAGCGAUAAGUAUUCCACCUGGGGAGUACGCCGGCAACGGUGAAACUCAAAUGAAUUGACGGGG
RNAcentral lists this ribosomal RNA (392 nucleotides) under uncultured bacterium. RNAcentral's name for it is "partial 16S ribosomal RNA". It matches the Rfam family "Bacterial small subunit ribosomal RNA", at positions 523 to 918 of the family's 1533-position model. The record is from RNAcentral.